AACGAACGCUGGCGGCAUGCCUAACACAUGCAAGUCGAACGAGAUCUUCGGGUCUAGUGGCGCACGGGUGCGUAACGCGUGGGAAUCUGCCCUUUGGUUCGGAAUAACAGUUGGAAACGACUGCUAAUACCGGAUGAUGACGAAAGUCCAAAGAUUUAUCGCCAGAGGAUGAGCCCGCGUAGGAUUAGCUAGUUGGUGUGGUAAAGGCGCACCAAGGCGACGAUCCUUAGCUGGUCUGAGAGGAUGAUCAGCCACACUGGGACUGAGACACGGCCCAGACUCCUACGAGAGGCAGCAGUGGGGAAUAUUGGACAAUGGGCGAAAGCCUGAUCCAGCAAUGCCGCGUGAGUGAUGAAGGCCUUAGGGGUGUAAAGCUCUUUUACCCGGGAUGAUAAUGACAGUACCGGGAGAAUAAGCUCCGGCUAACUCCGUGCCAGCCGCCGCAGUAA
This 449-nucleotide ribosomal RNA is filed under the name uncultured bacterium. RNAcentral describes it as "partial 16S ribosomal RNA". It matches the Rfam family "Bacterial small subunit ribosomal RNA", at positions 29 to 523 of the family's 1533-position model. The record is from RNAcentral.